Molecule: non-coding RNA, 655 nt
Organism: Schizosaccharomyces pombe (fission yeast)
Lineage: Eukaryota; Fungi; Ascomycota; Schizosaccharomycetes; Schizosaccharomycetales; Schizosaccharomycetaceae
Source: the annotation of a GenBank genome assembly
CAGUGGAACUUUCUUUCUUCAGAUUACGUUAUAUGGUAUAGUGAGCUUUGAAAAUCGUUGAAAAAAUUCGAAUUUAAUGGUGCAGAGGCAAAGACGAUAUGGACGUUCGGAAAAAUGAAAACUAUACUGGAGGAAGUUAUCUUUAUUUGAUUCUGUCUUCGUAAUUAAGCUUCCUUCAGCUUCGAACUUUUCAUUUCCUAAUUCGAAUACCUAUUUGUUCACCCGUACCUCUUUAGGUUUAUAUUUGUUCUUGCAAACUGUUCUGCGGCGAUAUGAAUUUUGCUACCCCAAAGUUUACGUAAGCCAAGUUUGUCGUAAAUAAAUUCGCAAAAAAAAGUACUUUGGAUGGUGCAACAUGGAAGAAUUGAACGCCGUUGAAACGCUGGUAUUUUUGAACAUGAAGUAUCUCAGUAUUCAACCCAAAGUCAUAAAAAUUCUUGAACCUUUAGCUUUCCAAGCGCUGAAUGAGCAUACUGGGACACAUUUUGAAACCAUAGACGCAAGUAAUAAUUGCGUAAGUUAUAUAAAACUCAUAGAGCCAACAAAGCUAGUAGCAUUUACUUCUUAAUAUUAUAUUGAAAUUCCAAUAAAUAAUCUUUGAAUAUCGUUUGUAUGAAAUACCCGAGAGCAAUUGCGGCGCUAAAUUAAACUGAAU